RNAcentral lists this ribosomal RNA (505 nucleotides) under uncultured Bacillota bacterium. RNAcentral's name for it is "bacterial SSU rRNA". It matches the Rfam family "Bacterial small subunit ribosomal RNA", at positions 400 to 896 of the family's 1533-position model. Lineage: Bacteria; Bacillati; Bacillota. The record is from RNAcentral.
CGUGAGCGAAGAAGGCCUUCGGGUCGUAAAGCUCUGUUGUUAGGGAAGAACAAGUAUCGGAGUAACUGCCGGUACCUUGACGGUACCUAACCAGAAAGCCACGGCUAACUACGUGCCAGCAGCCGCGGUAAUACGUAGGUGGCAAGCGUUGUCCGGAAUUAUUGGGCGUAGAGCGCGCGCAGGCGGUCCUUUAAGUCUGAUGUGAAAGCCCACGGCUCAACCGUGGAGGGUCAUUGGAAACUGGGGGACUUGAGUGCAGAAGAGGAGAGUGGAAUUCCACGUGUAGCGGUGAAAUGCGUAGAGAUGUGGAGGAACACCAGUGGCGAAGGCGACUCUCUGGUCUGUAACUGACGCUGAGGCGCGAAAGCGUGGGGAGCAAACAGGAUUAGAUACCCUGGUAGUCCACGCCGUAAACGAUGAGUGCUAAGUGUUAGAGGGUUUCCGCCCUUUAGUGCUGCAGCUAACGCAUUAAGCACUCCGCCUGGGGAGUACGGCCGCAAGGCUG